UGAUAUCACUAUUGCUUAAACAUCAGUGAAGAAGCUACCAAGCAAAUGAGAAAGUUACAAGUUCUAGCGGCUGCACUGAACUGCCUGUUACAGAGACAUCAGGCAGGAUAAACAAGUGUACAACAUUGUGAAAGCACUUUUUAACAGCCAGGCCUCCAACUCCGACCAAGUGUGCUAAAGGCUGAUAAGAGUGCUCUUUGAGAGAACAAUUCAUGGGUUACAAGAAGCAUUAAAUGUGUGUGGAGAAACAUCUUGAAACCUCAAAUCCUGCAGAGUUGUUUUGGAUUAAGGGGGAGGAAAAGGAUGGGACUCUUGUCUAAACGUCAGGUAUAGACAGACAUACCCCAGAGUUGUGGCACCCAUUAAUAGAUCAAGCAAGGCUGUGCAGCUGUGUUUUGAUCAGUGGAAAGGUUUCCUGGCAUCCAAGAACUGAAAUCACCUUUUGGGUAUGACAAGUGCAUCUAAGUAUCUAGCAAGUGAAAAUCAAGGGUUUCUGUAAGGAAGGAGUAA
Molecule: long non-coding RNA, 510 nt
Filed under: Athene cunicularia (burrowing owl)
Lineage: Eukaryota; Metazoa; Chordata; Aves; Strigiformes; Strigidae
Description: lncRNA (ENSACUG00000005291.1)
Source: RNAcentral